ACAUAGUCAUAUUUUUCCAUUUAUUGCUACACAUGAUCUUCAUUUCAAGUAAUCACACCAUUAUAAUUGUGUAAGGAUUGCACAAAUAUCACCUUAGAAUAAAUGAGAUGGUUUUAAACGUCAACAUGGGAACAGCUUGCGCACUCCCCUUCUUGGUUGUAAGGUCUAAUACAAAUUUUUGUGGCAUUUUUAGAUAGAUCAGAAGAAAAUUUAAUCUGGUAUUUACACUGACCUUACAUUGACUCUCUACAUAGUCUGCAUUCACGGGGUGGAAAGAUGAAUUUGUGAUGUAAAAGUCCCUGCCUGCUCCUCCUGCCUUGGUCCAAGAGAGAAAAGAUGUACCCAACACUCUCAUCCUUGGUUCUUGGAUCCCACUGAAUGGAACUGGCUCAAAGAAAUCCUUCCGAUUUAGCUUAAAAUAUAAAUUAUUUGAAAAGGACUGAUGCUAUUGAACCGCUUCAGUUUCCCUAACGUUAUAUGAGAACCCAAAGACAAGAAUUGUUCAGCAGGGACCACAGAUUGAUUUAUGUGCAAGAUUUAUUUUCCUGCUUUGACUUGAAGAGGACUUCCAAGCAGGCUGCAAGCCAGAGAACAACCAGGUGCGAGAGAAGCUCACAUUCUUUUACUUGACAGACUACUUCAUCAGUAAACAUAGGAAACAAUUGUUCCUACCAAAUCUCCUUGAAUCUGAAUAAGCUGCUUCAUGGAUCAAAAUGUCCCUUUCCUCUGUCUCUCUGAAUCCCAGACU
Molecule: long non-coding RNA, 748 nt
Filed under: Homo sapiens (human)
Lineage: Eukaryota; Metazoa; Chordata; Mammalia; Primates; Hominidae
Description: HSALNT0133428
Source: RNAcentral